This 269-nucleotide ribosomal RNA is filed under the name uncultured Thauera sp. RNAcentral's name for it is "partial 16S ribosomal RNA". It matches the Rfam family "Bacterial small subunit ribosomal RNA", at positions 1111 to 1382 of the family's 1533-position model. The record is from RNAcentral. Lineage: Bacteria; Pseudomonadati; Pseudomonadota; Betaproteobacteria; Rhodocyclales; Zoogloeaceae.
UUAGUUGCCAUCAUUUAGUUGGGCACUCUAAUGAGACUGCCGGUGACAAACCGGAGGAAGGUGGGGAUGACGUCAAGUCCUCAUGGCCCUUAUGGUAGGGCUUCACACGUCAUACAAUGGUCGGUACAGAGGGUUGCCAAGCCGCGAGGUGGAGCCAAUCCCUUAAAGCCGAUCGUAGUCCGGAUCGUAGUCUGCAACUCGACUACGUGAAGUCGGAAUCGCUAGUAAUCGCAGAUCAGCAUGCUGCGGUGAAUACGUUCCCGGGUCUU